AGUUCCCAGACAGCGCCCAAGGAGGAAGCACCGUUCGUGUCGCUCUUGGUCGCCUCGCCAACGCCGCCACUCGCGAGGCGUCGCCACCGACCAGAGAGGGUCACGUCCCCGAGAAGCGCCUCUUGGGACUCGGUGCUUCGUGACCCGCAUCCGUCGCCCUCACAGAUCGAAGCCUAAUCCUUCUGUUCGACCUCCAUCUGCAACUUCCUUCUUCCCAGAAUACCCAUCCGCGGCGCCAGACAGACCCUCAGCUCCGACUGCUUCGUAGAAUCUAGAGAUUUCCUUCAAAAAAAUCUUGAACUUUUUAUUUCAACUCCGUGGAAGGGUCGAACAAGGCAAUUUCCCUUGUUAUCGGUCGUUCUGUUAAAACUGUAUACGAGGCCCGACCAGUGAAUAGUCAUUAUACAAACGGAAAUAAUUUCAUAUAUAUAUGUCUAGACAUGCAUCUCUACCCGAUAGAUAGAUAAAUGUAUACCCAUCAGAUAGAUAUACGGUUAUACAUUUAUUUCUUUAUAGGCAUGUCCUUAUGAGUAUUCAGUGGGUCGGGCCUCGCACACUUUUAACAAACAGACCGUAAUAAUGACAUUGUAUAUUAACUCACAAACACAAUCUGAUUCCUAAGGUCUCUCUCGCAGGAAGUCCUUGGGACGUGUGCAUUCCCAGCCUCGAGAAGGAGCUCAUCUGGACUCGAAAAGUUCCGGUUGAUUUUCUCCCAAGACGCAGUGAAAUGAACUGAACAUAAGUCUUUCGAGCAAACAAGAAAGAAAUGUAUAGAGAGAGGGGUGGCCUUCCGAAAUCGAUGCUAUACAUUCCAAGCCUUUUCAGUUGGCUGAUAAAUGUCUAAUUAUUUAUUCUGUAGUUUUUGUAUGUUUUACAUAGUGAGCAGCCAGACUGUAUGUGUGAAUAUUCAUACUUGAAUAUUUCUCUCUCUCUCUCUCUCUCUCUC
Penaeus vannamei (Pacific white shrimp) is the source of this 946-nucleotide non-coding RNA. Lineage: Eukaryota; Metazoa; Arthropoda; Malacostraca; Decapoda; Penaeidae. The record is from RefSeq and is a predicted model, not a curated record.